This 2918-nucleotide long non-coding RNA is filed under the name Setaria italica (foxtail millet). RNAcentral's name for it is "long non-coding RNA (SITA_LNC006342)". The record is from RNAcentral. Lineage: Eukaryota; Viridiplantae; Streptophyta; Magnoliopsida; Poales; Poaceae.
GUCGUUCCUCCAGCCCAGGCCUACGACUGCUCCGCCGGUCGUCCCCCCAGGCAGCCGCCGGCGAAGUUGUGCGCCGUCUCCUCCGGCGCCGGGGACGACGAGGUGAGGAGGUAGGGUCCUUCGUUUCUCAUCUCGUACAUCAGUGCUUUGAUUAUAUUGCUGUUUCGUCUCAUAUAUAAUCCCCAAGGCGGCAGCGGAGAGAUCUCCGAUCCAGAGUUGAAUUUUGUGCGGCAAUGGGAGGGUAUGAUAUGAGGUGAUAUUUUGCCCAACUGGGAAUUAACAAAUUGGAAUGGGAAACUGAUGAGAUCUCAUCCGUAGUGUUCCUGUUAGGUCAGUGACGGCAUUUGGUAUUCUAUUUUGGGGAUGACAGGUGCAUGCUAUUCUAAUGCUGUACCAGUCUCUUGCUGGAUGUUAGGCCGUUUGGGCAUGCUUAGCUUAAUCCCCUUCCGAUGCUGCUUUGGAUAGGUGUUUACUGAUUAGGUAUUUGGUAUUCUAUUUUCUGUUGUUGACUAUUUGGCUCCUUUAAAGCGAGAUAAGUUUUAACUUUAAAGUGUGACCAUGCAUUUCUGGAAAACAAAGAAACUCUAUUUAGUCGCAUACUGGUUGAAUUAAAGAAAUCUAGUGCAAGUAUAUUGUAGGGGACAUGCAAGUCCUCCUUUUAAUGUAGGAGCAGAGAGAGGGAGCCUACUCUGUUAUAAGUUUUGCAUUCCGCACUCCGUUGGAAUUCUUCAUAAGUUGAUGUCAGGGAGAUUUCUUUGGAACGUUAGGCUGUUAAUAUCUGUAAAUGCUUACCGAACUAUUUUAGGUAUUAGGGAACAUGGCAACAACUUUUGCUACACCACUCAAAGGUUAAAAAAUUUAGUAUAAAGUUCAUCAACUGACUUUCUGGUACACUCUGUGUGAUAUUUGUUUCUGAUAGUGUCUGCCGACAAAUGCCUGCUCAAGUAUCUAGUGUAUGUGUAUCCACUUUUGGCUGUAGUAGCCUUGAUAUUCAGGAAUGCUUCCUGUGUUUGAUUUCUUAUUUAGGAUUCUUACCCUAAUCUUGUCUAAUUAUGUUUUCACCUUUUAUCUAAGGGUGAGGCUUUUCAAGUGAUUGAUGGAUCCUUCUAGGCAGGAUCAGUUCUUCCCUAUGUAUUAUUUCUAUCUCUGCAUAUUAUCCUUUAUCUCCUCAAACGACUAAGUAAUAUUGCAUAUUUUCUUAAAAACAUGUCACCACAUAAUCAGAUCUUGUGAUCUUCUGGUACUUUGACUUCCUCCCUGACCCUGAUCUAAAAGAAUCAUAAUGGCAUCACAUUGUGGAAGUUUGCUUGCUUAUAAUGGAUGUUCUUAGAAUAACUAAGUAAAACACCAUGGCCAUAAUCUGCUACUCUGCUUUGUUAUUCGGUUCACUUGGCUUGUUGUCUUUUGCUGAGUUGGUUUCCAUUUCGUGAAUUCACUAUAUAUGUAGAUGUAGGUAGCCUCAGCAUGUGUUGGCUUCCUUUUGUACCGUGCUUUAUAAUCUAAUAGAAGUUAAAGGGGAGAAACUUUUUAGUCUUAUCCAUAUCAAAGCUUUUCUCCAAGUUGGAUGCUGUGGAGUGUUGGAGUAAAAGCAAGCAGGAAUGAUGGCGUCUUGUCGGUCCAUGCAUGCACUACGUUAUUAAUCAAUUAGAAGAAAAAUCUUAUCUUAAUUUUACACAGGAGCAGUUUCAACAAGUAGCUGACUACAAAAGUCCCUAGUGCAGACCACUUAUCUACGCCUUUUAUUUACCUUAUCAUACUUGUUGAAUUUCUUAUUUCUUGCGUGUACAACCAGCAACUUCUUUCUAGUCUUAUUUGUUAGUGUGAUUUAACUUUUUAAUUAAAUCCUAAUGCUAAUCAGCUUUAUAGGAAUCAAAAAAUGAAAUGAUAGAUCACUCACUCUUGCACUAAGUCAGUUCCAUUCUGGUCGCUCAUACUGAUGCAUCUACAGCAGUCCAAAAGGCUGCCUGACCAUUAUUGGCCAGCAAAAAGCUAACAGUAGUACAUUUCUGAGAUUUGCUUGUCGCUAUUUUUUUUACCUGUUUCAGAGCUUACCCGUAAGACAAGGUACGGGUGUGUACCAUGAUCUCUAUUGGAAGAACUGAACUGAAGAACAAACAGACUGGUAUUCCUGAUCUUUAGUGCAGGUAACAUGUGAUCUCUAUUGCCGAGUUUUAGGACUUGGAAAGUCUAAGUAGUAGGGGCUAAAUGAGAAUGUAAUAGACUUAGCCAUGAAGGUCUAAGAAAUGAUUCUGAUCUUUAUUUAGAAACAAGCUCAAGUUUUGAGAAAUAAUAAAAUGCGGUAUACCUUUGUAAGCCUCUAAGUGAGCCUCAAAUUAUUUAGUCUGCCUUUAUCCAAGCCUGAGAAAUUAUGAGUCUAAAUGUAACAUUCAACUUCUUAUCAUAUUGUAUUGAAUAGUAACCAUGAACAUCAGGAGAUAUCCACAGAUAUGAAUAAUAUAUCAUGCAUAUAGAGCAUCCUUAUAUUGCACACUAUUGCACAAACUGGUACAAACUAUUCUCACACUACAUAGAUACAUACAUCAUGAUAAUACUUUCAAUGUUACCGUAGAUUUAAAAAUACUGAAAUCCGUACUAAUGCAAACAUAGCUAGUAAUUAAGUGCAGGUACUGCAAAUCUGCUAGGCAGAUUUGCUGAGUGACCUGGCCUAUAUAUAGAUGUAUUCCUUCCUCCUUCAAUAGCGAGGGCCUUAUUUACCAUAACCAAAUGAUGGAGCCAACAUCCUGAUUUCUUCAUCUUCCAUCUUCCAGAAUAUCUCAGGGCAUUUGUAAUCCCACAUAGCAGGUGAUGGCAGAGGGCAGGGGAUACUACUGCAUGUCUUCUCUUUCCCUUCAGCAAUGCCCAGCAAGGCAGGUGCCUGCGGUGCCUCGAUUUCUCUCCAUAUCUGAUCCAUGGGAUAU